AUUGAACGCUGGCGGCAGGCCUAACACAUGCAAGUCGAGCGGAUGAAGGGAGCUUGCUCCUGGAUUCAGCGGCGGACGGGUGAGUAAUGCCUAGGAAUCUGCCUGGUAGUGGGGGAUAACGUCCGGAAACGGGCGCUAAUACCGCAUACGUCCUGAGGGAGAAAGUGGGGGAUCUUCGGACCUCACGCUAUCAGAUGAGCCUAGGUCGGAUUAGUUAGUUGGUGGGGUAAAGGCCUACCAAGGCGACGAUCCGUAACUGGUCUGAGAGGAUGAUCAGUCACACUGGAACUGAGACACGGUCCAGACUCCUACGGGAGGCAGCAGUGGGGAAUAUUGGACAAUGGGCGAAAGCCUGAUCCAGCCAUGCCGCGUGUGUGAAGAAGGUCUUCGGAUUGUAAAGCACUUUAAGUUGGGAGGAAGGGCAGUAAGUUAAUACCUUGCUGUUUUGACGUUACCAACAGAAUAAGCACCGGCUAACUUUGUG
Molecule: ribosomal RNA, 484 nt
Filed under: uncultured bacterium
Lineage: Bacteria
Description: partial 16S ribosomal RNA
Rfam family: Bacterial small subunit ribosomal RNA
Source: RNAcentral